Molecule: ribosomal RNA, 460 nt
Filed under: uncultured bacterium
Lineage: Bacteria
Description: partial 16S ribosomal RNA
Rfam family: Bacterial small subunit ribosomal RNA
Source: RNAcentral
CCUACGGGAGGCAGCAGUGAGGAAUAUUGGUCAAUGGGCGGAAGCCUGAACCAGCCAAGUAGCGUGCAGGAUGACGGCCCUACGGGUUGUAAACUGCUUUUAUACGGGAAUAACGCGCCUUACUUGUAGGGCUUUGCAUGUACCCUAUGAAUAAGGACCGGCUAAUUCAUUGCCAGCAGCCGCGGUAGUACGGAGGGUACGGGCGUUAUCCGGAUUUAUUGGGUGUAAAGGGAGCGUAGGCGGCAUGUCAAGCGUGCUGAGAAAUGUCCGGGCUCAACCCGUGCCUUGCAGCGCGAACUGGCGUGCUUGAGUCCGCGGAAGGCAGGCGGAAUUCGUAGUGUAGCGGUGAAAGGCGUAGAUAUGACGAAGAACCCCGAUUGCGAAGGCAGCCUGCUGCAGCGGAACUGACGCUGAUGCGCGAAAGCGCGGGUAUCGAACAGGAUUAGAUACCCCGGUAGUC